This 74-nucleotide transfer RNA is filed under the name Candidatus Methanolliviera hydrocarbonicum. Its description in RNAcentral is "tRNA-Trp". It matches the Rfam family "tRNA". From Rfam's summary of the family: Transfer RNA (tRNA) molecules are approximately 80 nucleotides in length. The record is from RNAcentral. Lineage: Archaea; Methanobacteriati; Methanobacteriota; Candidatus Methanoliparia; Candidatus Methanoliparales; Candidatus Methanollivieraceae.
GGGGCUGUGGCCUAGUCAGGAAGGGCGGCGGGCUCCAGACCCGCCGAUCGUGUGUUCGAAUCGCACCAGCCCCA